RNAcentral lists this transfer RNA (64 nucleotides) under Teleogryllus infernalis. RNAcentral's name for it is "tRNA-Thr". It matches the Rfam family "tRNA". From Rfam's summary of the family: Transfer RNA (tRNA) molecules are approximately 80 nucleotides in length. Their secondary structure includes four short double-helical elements and three loops (D, anti-codon, and T loops). Further hydrogen bonds mediate the characteristic L-shaped molecular structure. tRNAs have two regions of fundamental functional importance: the anti-codon, which is responsible for specific mRNA codon recognition, and the 3' end, to which the tRNAs corresponding amino acid is attached (by aminoacyl-tRNA synthetases). tRNAs cope with the degeneracy of the genetic code in two manners: having more than one tRNA (with a specific anti-codon) for a particular amino acid; and 'wobble' base-pairing, i.e. permitting non-standard base-pairing at the 3rd anti-codon position. The record is from RNAcentral. Lineage: Eukaryota; Metazoa; Arthropoda; Insecta; Orthoptera; Gryllidae.
GUUUUAAUAGUUUAAAAUAAAACAUUGGUCUUGUAAAUCAAAAUUAAGAUUAUCUUUUAAAACU